RNAcentral lists this ribosomal RNA (467 nucleotides) under uncultured bacterium. RNAcentral describes it as "bacterial SSU rRNA". It matches the Rfam family "Bacterial small subunit ribosomal RNA", at positions 329 to 796 of the family's 1533-position model. The record is from RNAcentral.
UACCAGACUCCUACGGGAGGCAGCAGUGAGGAAUAUUGGUCAAUGGGAGAGAUCCUGAACCAGCCAAGCCGCGUGAGGGAAGACGGCCCUAUGGGUUGUAAACCUCUUUUGUCGGAGAACAAAACCCGGGACGAGUCCCGGACUGUGUGUAUCCGAAGAAAAAGCAUCGGCUAACUCCGUGCCAGCAGCCGCGGUAAUACGGAGGAUGCGAGCGUUAUCCGGAUUUAUUGGGUUUAAAGGGUGCGUAGGCGGUCCGUUAAGUCAGCGGUAAAAUUGCGGGGCUCAACCCCGUCGAGCCGUUGAAACUGGGGAUCUUGAGUGGGCGAGAAGUAUGCGGAAUGCGUGGUGUAGCGGUGAAAUGCAUAGAUAUCACGCAGAACUCCGAUUGCGAAGGCAGCAUGCCGGCUCCACACUGACGCUGAGGCACGAAAGCGUGGGUAUCGAACAGGAUUAGAUACCCGAGUACC